GAUUUGCAGUGAUGAUUGUUUACACAGCUUAAUGCCAGUUCUGCUUCAGAAAAUUCUUGAUUGAAAAGCUGUUAAUACAUCUGAGCUUUUU
This 91-nucleotide small nucleolar RNA is filed under the name Erythranthe guttata (spotted monkey flower). The record is from RNAcentral. Lineage: Eukaryota; Viridiplantae; Streptophyta; Magnoliopsida; Lamiales; Phrymaceae.